Molecule: long non-coding RNA, 718 nt
Filed under: Homo sapiens (human)
Lineage: Eukaryota; Metazoa; Chordata; Mammalia; Primates; Hominidae
Description: non-protein coding lnc-IL22-1:3
Source: RNAcentral
CACCAUUCAAAGGUAACUCAGUCAUCCAUGAAACUGAAUACAAAAGAAAUUUCAAGGGUUUAUCUCCAGUGAAAGAACCAAAAUUAAGAAAUGAUUUGAGAGAAAACAGAAAUCUUGAAACAGUGUCUCCUGAAAGGAAGAGUAAUAAAAUAGACGAUCGUUUAAAAUUGGAAGCAGAGAUGGAAUUAAAAGACUUACACCAGCCUAAAAGGAAGCUUACUCCUUGGAAACAUCAAAGGCUUGGGAAGGUGAAUUCCGAAUAUAGAGCAAAAUUUCUGAGCCCAGCUCAGUAUUUAUAUAAAGCUGGGGCUUGGACACAUGUAAAGGGAAACAUGCCAAAUCAGGUGAGUGUACAUGACCUCAAUAAGCCUACAUGUUCUUUCAGCCUCUGUUAACACUUUAAUUUCACAACGAGUUCCUUUUGGUAAUAGAGACCACAAUUUAAAGAAGUAUGAUAUAAUAAUAGCACUAAUAGUAUCAGGAACUUAUGUAUUAGAAUGUAAAUUAUCAUUUUUUUUAAUGCCACUGGCUCUUCAGAAAUUAAUAUUUAUUGAGGUCUUUUAAGUUUAAUGCUUUUUACCAUCAAACAUUUGAUUGUGUUAAUAGUCAAUUUAUAGAAUUGUAUCAUUAUAGAUUCGAUUAUUUCAUAACCUCCAGACCUCCACUGUCUCAACUGAAGAUUAAUUUUCAAGAUGAAAUAAUUUAUCUGAUAGUGAUG